GAUGAACGCUGGCGGCGUGCCUAAUACAUGCAAGUCGAGCGAACAGACGAGGAGCUUGCUCCUUUGACGUUAGCGGCGGACGGGUGAGUAACACGUGGAUAACCUACCUAUAAGACUGGGAUAACUUCGGGAAACCGGAGCUAAUACCGGAUAACAUGCUGAACCGCAUGGUUCAACAGUGAAAGACGGUUUUGCUGUCACUUAUAGCUGGAUCCGCGCCGCAUUAGCUAGUUGGUAAGGUAACGGCUUACCAAGGCAACGAUGCGUAGCCGACCUGAGAGGGUGAUCGGCCACACUGGAACUGAGACACGGUCCAGACUCCUACGGGAGGCAGCAGUAGGGAAUCUUCCGCAAUGGGCGAAAGCCUGACGGAGCAACGCCGCGUGAGUGAAGAAGGUCUUCGGAUCGUAAAACUCUGUUAUUAGGGAAGAACAAAUGUGUAAGUAACUAUGCACGUCUUGACGGUACCUAAUCAGAAAGCCACGGCUAACUACGUG
RNAcentral lists this ribosomal RNA (497 nucleotides) under uncultured bacterium. RNAcentral's name for it is "partial 16S ribosomal RNA". It matches the Rfam family "Bacterial small subunit ribosomal RNA", at positions 28 to 507 of the family's 1533-position model. The record is from RNAcentral.